This 503-nucleotide ribosomal RNA is filed under the name uncultured bacterium. RNAcentral's name for it is "partial 16S ribosomal RNA". It matches the Rfam family "Bacterial small subunit ribosomal RNA", at positions 30 to 523 of the family's 1533-position model. The record is from RNAcentral.
AUUGAACGCUGGCGGUAGGCUUAACACAUGCAAGUCGAGCGGGGUGAUGGUGCUUGCACUAUCACUUAGCGGCGGAUGGGUGAGUAAUGCUUAGGAAUCUGCCUAUUAGUGGGGGACAACAUCUCGAAAGGGAUGCUAAUACCGCAUACGUCCUACGGGAGAAAGCAGGGGAUCACUUGUGACCUUGCGCUAAUAGAUGAGCCUAAGUCGGAUUAGCUAGUUGGUGGGGUAAAGGCCUACCAAGGCGACGAUCUGUAGCGGGUCUGAGAGGAUGAUCCGCCACACUGGGACUGAGACACGGCCCAGACUCCUACGGGAGGCAGCAGUGGGGAAUAUUGGACAAUGGGGGGAACCCUGAUCCAGCCAUGCCGCGUGUGUGAAGAAGGCCUUAUGGUUGUAAAGCACUUUAAGCGAGGAGGAGGCUCUUUUGGUUAAUACCCAAGAUGAGUGGACGUUACUCGCAGAAUAAGCACCGGCUAACUCUGUGCCAGCAGCCGCCGUAA